ACCACAGGAAUAGCUCAGUUGGAAGAGCAUGAGACAUUUAAUCUCAGGGUUGUGGGUUUGAACCCCACGUGGGGUA
Non-coding RNA from Podarcis lilfordi (Lilford's wall lizard), 76 nucleotides. NCBI's taxonomy places the organism in Eukaryota, Metazoa, Chordata, Lepidosauria, Squamata, Lacertidae. The record is from the annotation of a GenBank genome assembly.